ACGGGAGGCAGCAGUGGGGAAUCUUGCACAAUGGGGGCAACCCUGAUGCAGCGACGCCGCGUGAGCGAUGAAGCCCUUCGGGGUGUAAAGCUCUUUCGGCAGGGAAGAUAAUGACGGUACCUGCAGAAGCACCGGCUAACUACGUGCCAGCAGCCGCGGUAAUACGUAGGCAGCGAGCGUUGUUCGGAGUUACUGGGCGUAAAGGGUGUGUAGGCGGUUGUUUAAGUUUGGUGUGAAAUCUCCCGGCUCAACUGGGAGGGUGCGCCGAAUACUGAAUGACUUGGAGUGCGGGAGAGGAAAGUGGAAUUCCUGGUGUAGCGGUGAAAUGCGUAGAUAUCAGGAGGAACACCGGUGGUGUAGACGGCUUUCUGGACCGUAACUGACGCUGAGACACGAAAGCGUGGGUAGCAAACAGGAUUAGAUACCCUGGUAGUCCACGCCCUAAACGAUGCAUAUUUGGUGUGGGCAGUUCAUUCUGUCCGUGCCGGAGCUAACGCGUUAAAUAUGCCGCCUGGGGAGUACAGUCGCAGGGCUGAAACUCAAAGGAAUUGACGGGGGCCCGCACAAGCGGUGGAGCAUGUGGUUCAAUUCGACGCAACGCGAAGAACCUUACCUGGGCUCGAACGGCUGGUCAACGGAGGUGGAAACACUUUUACCCCGCAAGGGGGUCCAGUCGAGGUGCUGCAUGGCUGUCGUCAGCUCGUGUCGUGAGAUGUUGGGUUAAGUCCCGCAACGAGCGCAACCCUUGUCCUGUGUUGCCAUGCCGAAAGGCGGAACUCGCAGGAGACCGCCAGCGAUAAGCUGGAGGAAGGUGGGGAUGACGUCAAGUCCUCAUGGCCUUUAUGUCCAGGGCUACACACGUGCUACAAUGGACGGUACAAUACGUCGCUAACCCGCGAGGGGGAGCCAAUCGCAAAAAACCGUUCUCAGUUCGGAUUGCAGGCUGCAACUCGCCUGCAUGAAGUUGGAAUCG
RNAcentral lists this ribosomal RNA (973 nucleotides) under uncultured bacterium. RNAcentral describes it as "bacterial SSU rRNA". It matches the Rfam family "Bacterial small subunit ribosomal RNA", at positions 341 to 1334 of the family's 1533-position model. The record is from RNAcentral.